CAAUUGUUCCUGAGUUAAAGGAUGCGAAUGAUGUAAGAUGUAUUUGGUCGUUUCAUAUCUGUUAGAUAAGAAACUGAUUAUUGCAGAGGAGACAGAGUGGAUGCCUAAUUUCCUGAAGUUAAGUCCAUAAAGAGGGUAGAUUUUGUGCCUUAAAAUGCCCAGCUUACAAAAUUCCAUCUCUGAAAACCGAACUCGAACCAAGGGGCUUCGCCACCGUGGAAGGAGGAGGAGACAAGAGUUGAUCUCCAGUGGUGAGAGACAAAUCUUGGCUCCAGAAGGAUCCCCUUGUGUUGUCCUGGGCAGGAAACUGGAGGUGAAAUGUCCCCACCAGCCCCAGCCCUUCCUCUGGGCUGGAGAAUUCUUCAACCUCCAGCACUGACAUGAAUUUCAGCAGCUUUGGCUUCACCUCAAAGGAAAAGGAGCUGCAGCUGGAUAGGAGAUGGACCUGGGUCAAAACCUACAAAAAGACCUUCUUUUGGGAGCAAUAGACUUUCAGGGAGGUUGUGUACUUUGGAAGUCUUCAGAAAAGGAAAAAAAACAAACUUUAUGAGAGAAAACAAGGAAUGGAACAACAGGAAACAAGGGAGGUUUUCAAGGUUCACUUCCCCAAAUAUCAAAGAGUGCCCUUAAAGGAUCAUUUCUGGCUUUGCCUCUUGACAUCUUUUACGAUCAGAUUUCAGCAAUUUCAAAUUUCAGCAGCCUCUCGAAAAUAAAUUUUAAAAACAGAAAGGAAAGAAGACAAGAAGAAAGCUUUGUGAAUGCUGCAGCUGAAUGUCCCCAUCACAGGGAGCAGACACAGGGUGAGAACCCAGGAUGGGAAAGAGAAAUCCAGGGCGAAACCGGCAAAAUGGGACAGUGCCCAUGAGCUGACCUGCAAAAUAACUGCAACUCAGGCACAGGCUGAGGUGCCCAGACAAAGAACAAUAAAUACAUAAAUCAUGUCAAAGCACAGGCAAUCCCUCUGCAAUAAAACAGGAGAGCUGAAUGCAGGCUAAAGAAAUCUGAAAAAAUGAAAUCUGGGAUGAGGAGGGGCGAGGCCGAAAAGGACGUUCAAUAGGAAGGCGAAAGCAAAAUAUUUCUAUUGCACAUCAGCACAUGUUGUCCUCUCUCUGCAGAGGACACAAAGACACAACUGUAGGUGUGUCAGGAUCCCACAGCGUUUUGGAGGAGCAGAUUUUGGAGCUCAGGGGCAGCACUCACACCUCAGUGACCUCCAAGGAAGAAGCACAGCACCACUCCUGGCCUGCAGAAAAACAACCCGAAGUGGUUUCAGCGUGCCAGCAGCCCCACACAGGGAGGUGUUUUCAGUCCCAGGGGUUGGGGGGCUGUUCCUGCCACUGCACAGGGUUCCCACAGCUCAUCCAUGCCUGGAGAUCUCCAGCUCUGAGCAGAGCCCUGCCCACUGCUGUUGGAUAAUUUAUUUUUUUUUCUGAUCUAGAGGUGGGGUGACUGAGAGGUGUUUUAAAAUCUUUUGUUUUAUUUUUAGUUUUGUGAGGGGUGAGAUAAUCUAGAUGUUAUCAUUUAUGUUACUAUAAUUAGAAGGUGUUUUGUCAUUCAUAAAAAGACUUCUAAUUCCUAGAAAUUACUCCACGACCUAAAGAAGAUCAACAAGAUCAUAGAAAACAUAAAGCCUCUACAACCUAGACUUCCCUCUCUUUCAAUAAUCCAAAAAAACUGCUGUCAUCAACUUAAAAAAUUAUUUUUUCAACACUCCAUCCAGAAGAUUCUCCUCAAUUUACCUUUUCACUUCCAACCACCACCCUGCAAGGCUCAGUUUGUGCUCCACGGCUCCAUGAAGUACAAAUGUCCUGUUGGGAGAGGAGGGUGCUGCUGCCUCCAGCCCUGAUUUCAGCCCUGGCUGCCUUCCAGGAGCUCCCAGAGCUUCCCAAGGCACGGGCAGCCCUGCUUGCAUCUGCUUCCCUCUGCUCUAGCUGCAGGCAGACUCACACACUGAUAUUUUCUGGGGUUUUUUGCUUUUAAAAGAGGUUUGGACAAGCUUUUGGGAGAUUUUCUCAGGGCCCUUCUCCUCUGUCUCAAAGGAGCUUGGGGAGUGAUCGCUGCAAAUGAAUUUGAUGAAGAGAAGCUUCUCUGUUUGCCUUGGUCAGGGCUGGGGCAAAGGCAGCAUCUGGGCUUGGGGGGAAGCAUCUGUCUGCAAAAACUGCCAGCAGAGCCAGGGACCUCUUGUUUCUGGACACAGAGACAAAAAAAACCCCACCUGGACUGCCCAAAGCAAAAAAAAACCCACCUGGACUGCCCAGACCAAAAAAAAAACCCAACCUGGACUGCCCAAAAUAAAAAAUCCCCACCUGGACUGCCCAAAAUAAAAAAUCCCCACCUGGACUGCCCAAAAUAAAAAGUCCCAAGAGAGUAAAAUCUCUCCCUGGACUGCCCAAAGCCAUGGCCAAGGCCAAGCUUUGGGGCCAGCCCUUUGUCCCGUGCAUUUCUGGGAAUUCAGCUGCCAAGGUGCAAUCCCAGCAUUGCAAUAGUCAUCAUUUCUUUGCUUUCUUUCCACUGCAAAGACACUUUCUUCACGCUCCUGGUGCUCCUGCCCAUGAUUAAUACAACAAUUAAGGUCAUCAUUAAAGCAAUCAAUGCAACAAGGGCUCUGCUCCUCAGCCAGCACCUGGAAAAUGUCCCUGGUGCCUCCUUAUCUGGGAACCCAACUCAGCUUUCUCCACAUCCAGAGUGCUGCAAUCGUCCCUUUCCAGCCAAAUAAAAGUAUUUCAAUAUCUGCCUUUUACAAAUAAUUAUCUGACAGCACGAGAUUAUUGAAAGGUAGAUGAGAAAAUGAAAACCUGAAGGUGGGUGAGAUGACAGAAUUAGAGCUGGGUUGGGUUGAAAGGAACCUUCAGGUGCUAAAGUAUUUGGAGGAUGUGCAUGGAAUUAUAAGGUUGGACAUGGUUUAGGUUCUUAAAUAAAGGGAGGGACAGAUAUUAGGACAAUUUUGUAUUUUCAACAAGACAGGAGGACCCUUUAAACUGGAAUGCCAAUGAGCUGAGGAGUCCAAGUCCAGAGUGGGGCAGGGAUCAUCCCAGCUUCCUAUUCCUCACCAUGCCAUGAAAUUAAAAAAUCCCUUAAGUUUUGUUCUGGGCUCUCUCCACAGCGUGCCCUCAUGCUCUGGUAAAGCAAUGGAAUCACACCCCAAAUAUUGGCAGCUCCCAGGUUUGUUUUUCCCAAA
Molecule: long non-coding RNA, 3178 nt
Organism: Passer domesticus (house sparrow)
Lineage: Eukaryota; Metazoa; Chordata; Aves; Passeriformes; Passeridae
Exons: 2
Source: RefSeq, a predicted model, not a curated record